This 64-nucleotide transfer RNA is filed under the name Staphylinoidea sp. 9 KM-2017. RNAcentral's name for it is "tRNA-Ile". Lineage: Eukaryota; Metazoa; Arthropoda; Insecta; Coleoptera. The record is from RNAcentral.
AAUAAAGUGCCUGAAAAAGGAAUAUUUUGAUAGAAUAGAUUAUAUGGAUUUUCCAUCUUUAUUA